CCUGCGCCCAAGAAAUUGCAGGGGAACAGAACAGUGCAAGUUGGCAUCAAGAAGCUGGAGGGUUGGGAUUCUCAAGCUUGAGGUCUGGGGAAAGGAAGCGGCACCCACCCCACCCCGUGAGCCCUCCUCUCUCUCCUCCCAGCAGCUUCCCCUGCCGCAUGGUUCAACAACAGCCAAAAGCAACCAGCCCACAGCCUAGUGCUCUGCUCCAACAGCCUCUGAGUCUCCCAGGAUGAAGGGCCUCUUCUUAAUCGUGGUCACCAUCAGCCUCCUGCUAAUGCUUCAGAUACAAACUGUGGUCUUAGAAGAGAACAGAAACAGCUCGACUGUCGAACCUGGGAACGAUGCGGCCUCCACCCUCGGCACACUGGGCGGAGGCAGCCUCCUCCUUCUCCUGACCAGCACCCUCAUCCACCUCUUCUACCUCAGCUGAGGUCGAUGCCUGCCUGAGUCCAUUUCAAGCCUGAGGAGAGAUUCUGCUCAAGAGGGUCAGCUCGGCGCUGACGAGGAUGGGAGUUGAGAGGCAGCGUUGGGGGCUCUGGAAGACCAGGACAGCGCCUGUGGUCAAUA
Sorex fumeus (smoky shrew) is the source of this 570-nucleotide long non-coding RNA. RefSeq lists it as uncharacterized. NCBI's taxonomy places the organism in Eukaryota, Metazoa, Chordata, Mammalia, Eulipotyphla, Soricidae. The record is from RefSeq and is a predicted model, not a curated record. The transcript has 3 exons.